This is a long non-coding RNA of Musca vetustissima, 408 nucleotides long. RefSeq lists it as uncharacterized. The transcript has 3 exons. NCBI's taxonomy places the organism in Eukaryota, Metazoa, Arthropoda, Insecta, Diptera, Muscidae. The record is from RefSeq and is a predicted model, not a curated record.
GAACAAUUCAUAAGACGAUGAUGCUGUUGAUGAUAAUCUCCAUAUGUUUGCAGUUUUUAAAAACGAAUGUAAUGCCAAUCAAGUAAUGGAAUUUUUAACGAUAUGGAAUCGAAAAACAUUUGGAUAUUUGCAAUUGUUUAUUCAGCAAUACAACAUUUUGCUUCGUCUUCAACACCAUUAAAACGUCCCCGGGCCGGAGAUCCAUUUGAUACAUUUCCGAAAAAUUUCUGGCAAGAAUUCUCAUCGCCCUUUACCGACACACCAGAGGAUGAGGAACUCGAAGUAACAGAGACAACAACGCAUGAACCAUUUCCAUUCUUUGCCGAUCCAUAUACCACCGUCAAUGUGAGCACCCAAUUGGGCGCCAGAGUAUACCUGCACUGUCGAGUUAAUGACUUACAGGGAAAA